Molecule: long non-coding RNA, 301 nt
Organism: Triticum aestivum (bread wheat)
Lineage: Eukaryota; Viridiplantae; Streptophyta; Magnoliopsida; Poales; Poaceae
Exons: 3
Source: RefSeq, a predicted model, not a curated record
UCGUUUCUCCUUUCUUCUCUCAUGAAGAAGGGGCUUCUCAGUUUUGGAACAACAAACCAUGGAGGAUAUGGGUCUGCACGGGCUUGGAGCAGGAAGCCAUGUCGGCCAAGGUUGAAGAUGAUGGUGUUGUCUUCUUCCUUCUGAUUGAUUUCCAACAGCUUAAGAACUUGUGCGGUGGUGUCAACCUCUUAUGCUAUCACGGAAAAUCCUAAAGAAGCCUUGCUUUGCAUGGGAGCUGUAGUUCAUCUGGCUAAGUGCUCGUGCUAUGGAAGCGACGAGGGCUGCCGCAGUGUAGACAAGG